AGAGUUUGAUCCUGGCUCAGGACGAACGCUGGCGGCGUGCCUAAUACAUGCAAGUCGAGCGAGCUUGCCUAGAUGAUUUUAGUGCUUGCACUAAAUGAAACUAGAUACAAGCGAGCGGCGGACGGGUGAGUAACACGUGGGUAACCUGCCCAAGAGACUGGGAUAACACCUGGAAACAGAUGCUAAUACCGGAUAACAACACUAGACGCAUGUCUAGAGUUUGAAAGAUGGUUCUGCUAUCACUCUUGGAUGGACCUGCGGUGCAUUAGCUAGUUGGUAAGGUAACGGCUUACCAAGGCAAUGAUGCAUAGCCGAGUUGAGAGACUGAUCGGCCACAUUGGGACUGAGACACGGCCCAAACUCCUACGGGAGGCAGCAGUAGGGAAUCUUCCACAAUGGACGAAAGUCUGAUGGAGCAACGCCGCGUGAGUGAAGAAGGGUUUCGGCUCGUAAAGCUCUGUUGGUAGUGAAGAAAGAUAGAGGUAGUAACUGGCCUUUAUUUGACGGUAAUUACUUAGAAAGUCACGGCUAACUACGUGCCAGCAGCCGCGGUAAUACGUAGGUGGCAAGCGUUGUCCGGAUUUAUUGGGCGUAAAGCGAGUGCAGGCGGUUCAAUAAGUCUGAUGUGAAAGCCUUCGGCUCAACCGCGG
This 650-nucleotide ribosomal RNA is filed under the name uncultured bacterium. Its description in RNAcentral is "bacterial SSU rRNA". It matches the Rfam family "Bacterial small subunit ribosomal RNA", at positions 8 to 618 of the family's 1533-position model. The record is from RNAcentral.